GAUGAACGCUGGCGGCGGGCCUAAUACAUGCAAGUCGAACGAAACUUCUGUAUCACCGUGUGCUUGCACGCGCCGAGAAGGAGGUGAGUGGCGAACGGGUCGGUAACACGUUGGCAACGUGGCCAAAAGAGGGGGAAAACACGUGGAAACCGGUGCUAAUACCGCAGAACAAUAGUGACCGCAUGGUAACUAUGUAAAAGGUGGCUAUACUACCGCGUUUGGAUGGGCCGGCGGCGGAUUAGCUAGUUGGGCGGGUAAAGGCUGACCAAGGCAACGAUCCGUAGCCGGUUUGAGAGGAUGAUCAGCCACACUGGAACUGAGACACGGUCCAGACUCCUACGGGAGGCAGCAGUGGGGAAUCUUGGACAAUGGGCGCAAGCCUGAUCCAGCCAUACCGCGUGGGUGAAGAAGGCCUUCGGGUUGUAAAGCCCUUUUGUUGGGAAAGAAAAGCAGCAGGUUAAUCCGCCGCUGUUCUGACGGUACCCAAAGAGUAAGCACCGGCUAACUUCGUG
Molecule: ribosomal RNA, 512 nt
Filed under: uncultured bacterium
Lineage: Bacteria
Description: partial 16S ribosomal RNA
Rfam family: Bacterial small subunit ribosomal RNA
Source: RNAcentral